Molecule: ribosomal RNA, 253 nt
Filed under: uncultured prokaryote
Description: partial 16S ribosomal RNA
Rfam family: Bacterial small subunit ribosomal RNA
Source: RNAcentral
UACGGAGGGUGCAAGCGUUAUCCGGAUUCACUGGGUUUAAAGGGUGCGUAGGAGGGCAGGUAAGUCAGUGGUGAAAUCUCUGGGCUUAACCCAGAAACUGCCGUUGAUACUAUCUGUCUUGGAUACCGUGGAGGUGAGCGGAAUAUGUCAUGUAGCGGUGAAAUGCUUAGAUAUGACAUAGAACACCAAUUGCGAAGGCAGCUCGCUACACGAAUAUUGACUCUGAGGCACGAAAGCGUGGGGAUCAAACAGG